Spinacia oleracea (spinach) is the source of this 1739-nucleotide long non-coding RNA. RefSeq lists it as uncharacterized. Lineage: Eukaryota; Viridiplantae; Streptophyta; Magnoliopsida; Caryophyllales; Amaranthaceae. The transcript has 3 exons. The record is from RefSeq and is a predicted model, not a curated record.
AGCUACCUGUUAGAACAAUCUCUCCAAAGCUGAAGUCCUUGUUUGCUUGGGUAACAUUCAGCUUUAUUUCCAGAUCUUGAGUUUCUGUUGGAGCUAUGGUGAACCAAGUUGGAGAUACAUCAACUGUGACCCCAAUUGGUGGAAGCACUGCACACAGGUUCAAGUCUGCUGGAUGUGCGAGUGGAUGGUUGCACGAGCCACCUGUCAUAACUUCAACUUCUGUUUUGUUGAUAUUUGGCAAAGAGCACAGGAAAGCUACGUAUUCUCCUUCUCCUGAACACAAAUUUUGGGGAUCAUGAUCCCUGGCACAGGGAAAGGCACUGGUUCUGCAACGAAAUCACCAUAAGCAGGAUUGGCAGCCAGGAUGAAACCCAUGAAUCCCAACAUCUUUGCAGUGUUGAUAAUGGAAGUCAGAGAAGAAGUCUGGUUGUAAAAUCCAUCUGAGAAGUUGCAGAUCACUAUGCUGCCUGCCACUACUACGGGAUCAAGAGCUUCCGGAAACUGGCAUUCCUCUAUGUAAGGUGAUGUUCUUGGGAAUGAACCAUUAAUAUAUACAGCAUCUUUUGCCAACACCAGCUUAUAUUUCAGUAUCCCAUUUCCAAAGGUUGGCCCUGCAUUAUGAGAAAUGUCUUAUAUAAAACAGAGAAUUUGUAUGCAUGUCUUCAGUGAAAGUACCACAAGGAAUAAAUAAAAAGUCGAAUGAGCUAGACUUGAUAUCUCACACAAUAGGUGAAGGUAGUAAUGUCCUUGUUUUUCGUUCCCCUUGUCCUUUGGUAAGGGAAAAAAGGGUAUAUGUAUGAAUAAUGUGAAGUAGGGGUGUGCAAAAACCGGUCCGGACCGGAAAAAUGGACCAAACCGACCACGGACCGGACCGGAGACAAUAGGUCUUGUCUUUGGGUCGAGAAAUAGUAAUUUCCACUAUUCGGUCUGGUCCGGGCCAAAACCCUUUAAAACCCGGUUUUGGACCGGACCGGCUUUUACUAAAAGAAGUAUAGUACUCCGUAUAAACUACUAAAAAAGUUAAUUUGCUCCUUUAUUUUGUUGUAAAUAUUACUGUACUGUGAGAUAUUUUCAAACAUUAGUUUCUUACAUAUAUUUUUCCGUGUUUACUGUAUUUUGUAGAAAAAAUAAAAAAUAUAUAUAAAUAGGACUACAACCGGUCCGGUCCGGCCGUCCGGGUUUUGGACCGAUGAACACCCCUCAGUAUCAUGUUAGAGAUCUCACUUAUUAGCUGUUUAUCAUAUUUCUUUUCAAAUAUGUACAAGCAGAAUCUGUGGUACAUCUUGUUGCAGAUAUUCAAUCUUCAAUCUUCAAUGACAGUAAAUUUCAUGUUUUAUAAAGGAUUCAGACUUGCCUGAUAACCCAACUCCUGCAAUCUUUUGACCAUUUCCGAGAAAGAGAGUAGCAGGGUAACUUCUGUCCGUGCUGCAAGCAGCGACUCCAACAGACCAAGGACUGAAGGAUACCACGGAGCUCGGGUCGGGCCCUUUGUUCCCUGCUGCUUGUACCACAAAAACCCCUGCUCUUCUUGCCAGUAGUGUGAAGAUUUCAAAUACAUCGAGGAAAGUUAUCGUGUCUUCUCCUGGUUCGUCUGGUUCUACCGACAAGUUCAGGAUGUCAACUCCAUCUUUCACUGCCUGAAAAAUAAUCAAAGUUUGUAAGACUCAUAUAUAGUAUUAUACAGUGAGGUUCACUAUGUAUACUUUCUGCAACGUCAGAUAAGUGCUUUACUUGAUCAA